GCAUAUCAAUAAGCGGAGGAAAAGAAACUAACAAGGAUUCCCCUAGUAACGGCGAGUGAAGCGGGAAGAGCUCAAGCCUAAAAUCUGCAGGUUGUUUUAUUACAAUCUUGUCGAAUUGUAGCUUAUGGAAGCAGUUUUAUCUUUCUGCCAGUAGCCAGUAAAAGUUCUUUUGAAUAAGACAUCAAAGAGGGUGAAAAUCCCGUAUUUGGCUGGUUAUUGGUGGGGAUUUAUGUACUGUUUUCUUUGAGUCGGGUUGUUUGGAAAUGCAGCCCUAAUUAGGAGGUAAAUUUCUUCUAAAGCUAAAUAUAAGCAAGAGACCGAUAGCAUACAAGUACCGUGAGGGAAAGAUGAAAAGCACUUUGAAAAGAGAGUGAAAAGUACGUGAAAUUGUUGGAAGGGAACCGGUUGGUAGCAAAGCAUCUGCAGUUGGUCAGUUGAGGGGGCAACUUCUUUUCUGAUUGGCGAGUGGGGAGUCAACAUCGGUUGGUAUUGCCUGAAAGGAGAAUUUAGCGUGUUAGCGGUGGUAAGGUAGAGUAGUUUGUUUGGAUUUAUCCAAUUAGAUUGCUUGUUAUAGACCAUCAUUUGCGCGUUUCUGAAGCCUUUGGGGUGGUGGCGACCGAGGUAAAUUCAGCAGUGUGGACUUUUUCGAAAGUACUGGUUGGAUGUGUUUGGGUAUUGUUUUACAAGAGGUUUGGACAGCUUGCUGACCAGGUUUUCUUUUAGAAUAUAUUCUUAUGCAUUCAAACCUAAGAAACACUUUGGAUGUUGGCGAAAAAGCACCAAUCGACCCGUCUUGAAACACGGACC
RNAcentral lists this ribosomal RNA (807 nucleotides) under Harpella melusinae. RNAcentral's name for it is "eukaryotic LSU rRNA". It matches the Rfam family "Eukaryotic large subunit ribosomal RNA", at positions 38 to 667 of the family's 3401-position model. The record is from RNAcentral. Lineage: Eukaryota; Fungi; Kickxellomycota; Harpellomycetes; Harpellales; Harpellaceae.